RNAcentral lists this ribosomal RNA (1244 nucleotides) under uncultured bacterium. RNAcentral describes it as "partial 16S ribosomal RNA". It matches the Rfam family "Bacterial small subunit ribosomal RNA", at positions 102 to 1380 of the family's 1533-position model. The record is from RNAcentral.
AAGGGCGAGUAAUGCAUUCCUACGUGCCCCGAGGUCAGGGAUAGCCCCAGGGAAACUUGGAGUAAAACCUGAAUGUGAUCUCCGGAUCAAAGAUUUAUCGCCUCGGGAGCGGGGAAUGUCCUAUCAGAUAGUUGGUGAGGUAACGGCUCACCAAGGCAAAGACGGGUAGCGGGUGUGAGAGCACGACCCGCCGCAUCGGAAUUGAGACACUGUCCGGACUCCUACGGGAGGCUGCAGUAACGAAUCUUCCGCAAUGCACGAAAGUGUGACGGAGCAAUGCCGCGUGCAGGAUGAAGCCUUUCGGGGUGUAAACUGCUGUCAGGGGUCACCAACACAAUGAGGAGCCCCAAAGGAAGAGGCGACUAACUCUGUGCCAGCAGUCGCGGUAAUACAGAGGCCUCGAGCGUUAAUCGGAAUCACUGGGCUUAAAGCGUACGUAGGCGGGCGCGCAGGCAUCUUGUGAAAUCCCACGGCUCAACCGUGGAAUUGCUUGGUGAACCGCGCGUCUAGAGUCAGGUAGGGGCCGCCGGAACGAUAGGUGGAGCGGUGAAAUGCGUUGAUAUCUAUCGGAACGCCAAAGGUGAAGACAGGCGGCUGGGCCUGCACUGACGCUGAGGUACGAAAGCGUGGGGAGCAAACGGGAUUAGAUACCCCGGUAGUCCACGCCGUAAACGAUGUGCACUGGAUCGAGGGGGUUCUGACGCCGCCCUUGGUCGAAGCGAAAGCGUUGAGUGCACCGCCUGGGGAGUACGGUCGCAAGGCUAAAACUCAAAGGAAUUGACGGGGGCCCGCACAAGCGGUGGAGCAUGUGGUUUAAUUUGAAGCAACGCGCAGAACCUUACCAGCCCUUGACAUCCCUCUUGAGCAUACCAGAGAUGGUUUGCGUCGGUUCGGCCGGAGAGGAGACAGGUGCUGCAUGGCUGUCGUCAGCUCGUGUCGUGAGAUGUUGGGUUAAGUCCCGCAACGAGCGCAACCCUCGCCUUUAGUUGCCAUCAUUCAGUUGGGCACUCUAGAGGAACUGCCGGUGAUAAACCGGAGGAAGGUGGGGAUGACGUCAAGUCCUCAUGGCCCUUAUGGGCUGGGCUACACACGUGCUACAAUGGCGGUGACAGUGGGGAGCGAAGGGGCGACCUGGAGCUAAUCCUCAAAAGCCGUCUCAGUUCGGAUUGUACUCUGCAACUCGAGUGCAUGAAGUCGGAAUCGCUAGUAAUCGCGGAUCAGCAUGCCGCGGUAAAGUCCGGGCU